This 343-nucleotide unclassified non-coding RNA is filed under the name soil metagenome. Its description in RNAcentral is "partial contains 5.8S ribosomal RNA, internal transcribed spacer 2, and large subunit ribosomal RNA". The stretch from base 1 to 120 matches the Rfam family "5.8S ribosomal RNA", at positions 35 to 154 of the family's 154-position model. The record is from RNAcentral.
GAUGAAGAACGUAGCGAAAUGCGAUAAGUAAUGUGAAUUGCAGAAUUCAGUGAAUCAUCGAAUCUUUGAACGCACAUUGCGCCCGCUAGUAUUCUGGCGGGCAUGCCUGUCCGAGCGUCAUUUCAACCCUCAAGCCCCCGGGCUUGGUGUUGGGGAUCGGCGAGCCUCCGCGCCCGCCGUCCCCUAAAUCUAGUGGCGGUCUCGCUGUAGCUUCCUCUGCGUAGUAGCACACCUCGCACUGGGAAACAGCGCGGCCACGCCGUUAAACCCCCAACUUCUGAACGUUUGACCUCGGAUCAGGUAGGAAUACCCGCUGACCUUAAGCAUAUCAAUAAGCGGAGGA